This 450-nucleotide ribosomal RNA is filed under the name uncultured bacterium. RNAcentral describes it as "partial 16S ribosomal RNA". It matches the Rfam family "Bacterial small subunit ribosomal RNA", at positions 354 to 796 of the family's 1533-position model. The record is from RNAcentral.
GUGGGGAAUCUUCCGCAAUGGACGAAAGUCUGACGGAGCAACGCCGCGUGAGUGAUGAAGGUCUUCGGAUUGUAAAGCUCUGUUAAUCGGGACGAAAGAGCCUAGUGUGAAUAAUGCUAGGAAGUGACGGUACCGGAAUAGAAAGCCACGGCUAACUACGUGCCAGCAGCCGCGGUAAUACGUAGGUGGCAAGCGUUGUCCGGAAUUAUUGGGCGUAAAGCGCGCGCAGGCGGAUCUGCCAGUCUGUCUUAAAAGUUCGGGGCUUAACCCCGUGAUGGGAUGGGAACUACAGAUCUAGAGUAUCGGAGAGGAAAGUGGAAUUCCUAGUGUAGCGGUGAAAUGCGUAGAUAUUAGGAAGAACACCAGUGGCGAAGGCGACUUUCUGGACGAAAACUGACGCUGAGGCGCGAAAGCCAGGGGAGCGAACGGGAUUAGAUACCCUGGUAGUCC